Molecule: transfer RNA, 66 nt
Filed under: Marmota monax (woodchuck)
Lineage: Eukaryota; Metazoa; Chordata; Mammalia; Rodentia; Sciuridae
Description: tRNA.Ala
Source: RNAcentral
GGCUUGUAGCUCAGUGGUAGAGCGCUAGCCUAGCAUGUGUGGCACUGGGUUCAAUCCUCAGUGCCA